RNAcentral lists this ribosomal RNA (432 nucleotides) under uncultured bacterium. Its description in RNAcentral is "bacterial SSU rRNA". It matches the Rfam family "Bacterial small subunit ribosomal RNA", at positions 173 to 617 of the family's 1533-position model. The record is from RNAcentral.
ACGCUUGAGGUGUUUAGAAAGCCUCAAGGAAAGCCUGCAAAGGCGCUGAAGGAGGGAGCUGCGGGCCAUCAGGUAGUUGGUGGGGUAACGGCCUACCAAGCCAACGACGGAUAGGGGGCCUGAGAGGGUGACCCCCCACACUGGAACUGAGAGACGGUCCAGACUCCUACGGGAGGCAGCAGUAAGGGAUAUUGCGACAAUGGGCGAAAGCCUGACGCAGCAACGCCGCGUGAGGGAUGACGGCCUUCGGGUUGUAAACCUCUUUUCAGGGUGAAGAGGAAGGACGGUAGCCCUGGAAGAAGUCUCGGCUAACUACGUGCCAGCAGCCGCGGUAAAACGUAGGAGGCGAGCGUUAUCCGGAUUUACUGGGUGUAAAAGCGCGUGCAGGCGGUGGUCUAAAUUGGUGUGUGAAAACGCCCCGGCUUAACCCGG